This 360-nucleotide ribosomal RNA is filed under the name uncultured bacterium. RNAcentral's name for it is "bacterial SSU rRNA". It matches the Rfam family "Bacterial small subunit ribosomal RNA", at positions 49 to 413 of the family's 1533-position model. The record is from RNAcentral.
UAACACAUGCAAGUCGAGCGGUAAGGCCUUUCGGGGUACACGAGCGGCGAACGGGUGAGUAACACGUGGGUGAUCUGCCCUGCACUUCGGGAUAAGCCUGGGAAACUGGGUCUAAUACCGGAUAUGACCUCCUAUCGCAUGGUGGGUGGUGGAAAGAUUUAUCGGUGCAGGAUGGGCCCGCGGCCUAUCAGCUUGUUGGUGGGGUAAUGGCCUACCAAGGCGACGACGGGUAGCCGACCUGAGAGGGUGACCGGCCACACUGGGACUGAGACACGGCCCAGACUCCUACGGGAGGCAGCAGUGGGGAAUAUUGCACAAUGGGCGAAAGCCUGAUGCAGCGACGCCGCGUGAGGGAUGACG